This 433-nucleotide ribosomal RNA is filed under the name uncultured bacterium. Its description in RNAcentral is "partial 16S ribosomal RNA". It matches the Rfam family "Bacterial small subunit ribosomal RNA", at positions 29 to 507 of the family's 1533-position model. The record is from RNAcentral.
AGCGAACGCUGGCGGCAUGCCUAACACAUGCAAGUCGAACGAACUCUUCGGAGCUAGUGGGGGGCGGGUGGGUAACACGUGGGCACGUGCCUAUCGGGUCGGUAUCACUCAGGGAAAUUUGUGCUAAUCCCGUAUGUGCCUUUCGGGGGAAAGAUUUAUCGGCUUUAGAGCGGCCCGCGUCUGAUUAGCUAGUUGGUGAGGUAAAGGCUCACCAAGGCGACGAUCAGGAGCUUGUCUGAGAGGAUGAUCAGCCACAUUGGGACUGAGACACGGCCCAAACUCCUACGGGAGGCAGCAGUGGGGAAUCUUGCGCAAUGGGCGAAAGCCUGACGCAGCCAUGCCGCGUGAAUGAUGAAGGUCUUAGGAUUGUAAAAUUCUUUCACCGGGGACGAUAAUGACGGUACCCGGAGAAGAAGCCCCGGCUAACUUCGUG